GGGUUGUGAGGUUAAGCGACUAAGCGUACACGGUGGAUGCCCUGGCAGUCAGAGGCGAUGAAGGGCGUGCUAAUCUGCGAUAAGCGCCGGUAAGGUGAUAUGAACCGUUAUAACCGGCGAUACCCGAAUGGGGAAACCCAGUGUGAUUCGUCACACUAUCAUUAACUGAAUCCAUAGGUUAAUGAGGCGAACCGGGGGAACUGAAACAUCUAAGUACCCCGAGGAAAAGAAAUCAACCGAGAUUCCCCCAGUAGCGGCGAGCGAACGGGGAGGAGCCCAGAGCCUGAAUCAGCAUGUGUGUUAGUGGAAGCGUCUGGAAAGGCGCGCGAUACAGGGUGACAGCCCCGUACACAAAAGCGCAUGUGCUGUGAGCUCGAUGAGUAGGGCGGGACACGUGGUAUCCUGUCUGAAUAUGGGGGACCAUCCUCCAAGGCUAAAUACUCCUGACUGACCGAUAGUGAACCAGUACCGUGAGGGAAAGGCGAAAAGAACCCCGGCGAGGGGAGUGAAAAAGAACCUGAAACCGUGUACGUACAAGCAGUGGGAGCACCCUUCGGGGUGUGACUGCGUACCUUUUGUAUAAUGGGUCAGCGACUUAUAUUCUGUAGCAAGGUUAACCGUAUAGGGGAGCCGGAGGGAAACCGAGUCUUAAUUGGGCGUUAAGUUGCAGGGUAUAGACCCGAAACCCGGUGAUCUAGCCAUGGGCAGGUUGAAGGUUGGGUAACACUAACUGGAGGACCGAACCGACUAAUGUUGAAAAAUUAGCGGAUGACCUGUGGCUGGGGGUGAAAGGCCAAUCAAACCGGGAGAUAGCUGGUUCUCCCCGAAAGCUAUUUAGGUAGCGCCUCGUGAAUUCAUCUCCGGGGGUAGAGCACUGUUUCGGCUAGGGGGCCAUCCCGGCUUACCAACCCGAUGCAAACUGCGAAUACCGGAGAAUGUUAUCACGGGAGACACACGGCGGGUGCUAACGUCCGUCGUGAAGAGGGAAACAACCCAGACCGCCAGCUAAGGUCCCAAAGUCAUGGUUAAGUGGGAAACGAUGUGGGAAGGCCCAGACAGCCAGGAUGUUGGCUUAGAAGCAGCCAUCAUUUAAAGAAAGCGUAAUAGCUCACUGGUCGAGUCGGCCUGCGCGGAAGAUGUAACGGGGCUAAACCAUGCACCGAAGCUGCGGCAGCGAACGUAUCACCCAAGACAACUUUACGGAGUUGACGAUUGACGGAGCGAAGCGACGUCAAAGCGUUCAUUAAAGUCGAGUUGGCUUAGGGAUACGUUCGUUGGGUAGGGGAGCGUUCUGUAAGCCUGUGAAGGUGUGUCGUGAGGCAUGCUGGAGGUAUCAGAAGUGCGAAUGCUGACAUAAGUAACGAUAAAGCGGGUGAAAAGCCCGCUCGCCGGAAGACCAAGGGUUCCUGUCCAACGUUAAUCGGGGCAGGGUGAGUCGACCCCUAAGGCGAGGCCGAAAGGCGUAGUCGAUGGGAAACGGGUUAAUAUUCCCGUACUUGGUGUUACUGCGAAGGGGGGACGGAGAAGGCUAUGUUGGCCGGGCGACGGUUGUCCCGGUUUAAGCGUGUAGGUGUGUGUUCCAGGUAAAUCCGGUUCACUUUAACACUGAGGCGUGACGACGAGGCACUACGGUGCUGAAGCAACAAAUGCCCUGCUUCCAGGAAAAGCCUCUAAGCAUCAGGUAACAUCAAAUCGUACCCCAAACCGACACAGGUGGUCAGGUAGAGAAUACCAAGGCGCUUGAGAGAACUCGGGUGAAGGAACUAGGCAAAAUGGUGCCGUAACUUCGGGAGAAGGCACGCUGACACGUAGGUGAAGUGAUUUACUCAUGGAGCUGAAGUCAGUCGAAGAUACCAGCUGGCUGCAACUGUUUAUUAAAAACACAGCACUGUGCAAACACGAAAGUGGACGUAUACGGUGUGACGCCUGCCCGGUGCCGGAAGGUUAAUUGAUGGGGUCAGCGCAAGCGAAGCUCCUGAUCGAAGCCCCGGUAAACGGCGGCCGUAACUAUAACGGUCCUAAGGUAGCGAAAUUCCUUGUCGGGUAAGUUCCGACCUGCACGAAUGGCGUAAUGAUGGCCAGGCUGUCUCCACCCGAGACUCAGUGAAAUUGAACUCGCUGUGAAGAUGCAGUGUACCCGCGGCAAGACGGAAAGACCCCGUGAACCUUUACUAUAGCUUGACACUGAACAUUGAGCCUUGAUGUGUAGGAUAGGUGGGAGGCUUUGAAGUGUGGACGCCAGUCUGCAUGGAGCCGACCUUGAAAUACCACCCUUUAAUGUUUGAUGUUCUAACGUGGACCCGUUACCCGGGUUGCGGACAGUGUCUGGUGGGUAGUUUGACUGGGGCGGUCUCCUCCUAAAGAGUAACGGAGGAGCACGAAGGUUGGCUAAUCCUGGUCGGACAUCAGGAGGUUAGUGCAAUGGCAUAAGCCAGCUUGACUGCGAGCGUGACGGCGCGAGCAGGUGCGAAAGCAGGUCAUAGUGAUCCGGUGGUUCUGAAUGGAAGGGCCAUCGCUCAACGGAUAAAAGGUACUCCGGGGAUAACAGGCUGAUACCGCCCAAGAGUUCAUAUCGACGGCGGUGUUUGGCACCUCGAUGUCGGCUCAUCACAUCCUGGGGCUGAAGUAGGUCCCAAGGGUAUGGCUGUUCGCCAUUUAAAGUGGUACGCGAGCUGGGUUUAGAACGUCGUGAGACAGUUCGGUCCCUAUCUGCCGUGGGCGCUGGAGAACUGAGGGGGGCUGCUCCUAGUACGAGAGGACCGGAGUGGACGCAUCACUGGUGUUCGGGUUGUCAUGCCAAUGGCACUGCCCGGUAGCUAAAUGCGGAAGAGAUAAGUGCUGAAAGCAUCUAAGCACGAAACUUGCCCCGAGAUGAGUUCUCCCUGAGACUUAGAGUCUCCUGAAGGAACGUUGAAGACGACGACGUUGAUAGGCCGGGUGUGUAAGCGCAGCGAUGCGUUGAGCUAACCGGUACUAAUGAACCGUGAGGCUUAACCUUACAACGCCGAAG
This 3010-nucleotide ribosomal RNA is filed under the name Salmonella enterica subsp. enterica. RNAcentral's name for it is "bacterial LSU rRNA". It matches the Rfam family "Bacterial large subunit ribosomal RNA". The record is from RNAcentral. RNAcentral also lists the same sequence under 1 other name. Lineage: Bacteria; Pseudomonadati; Pseudomonadota; Gammaproteobacteria; Enterobacterales; Enterobacteriaceae.